This 323-nucleotide ribosomal RNA is filed under the name uncultured eukaryote. Its description in RNAcentral is "partial 18S ribosomal RNA". It matches the Rfam family "Eukaryotic small subunit ribosomal RNA", at positions 1470 to 1796 of the family's 1831-position model. The record is from RNAcentral.
CCCCUAGAUGUUCUGGGCCGCACGCGCGCUACACUGAACAGUUCAACAAGUCUUAACCUUGGCCGAUAGGUCUGGGUAAUCUUUGAACGCUGUUCGUGAUUGGGAUAGACCUUUGCAAUUAUGGGUCUUCAACGGGGAAUUCCUAGUAAACGCAAGUCAUCAGCUUGCAUUGAUUACGUCCCUGCCCUUUGUACACACCGCCCGUCGCACCUACCGAUUGAAUGGUCCGGUGAAAUCUCCGGACUGGCGUGAGUCGGAGCAAUCUGACAAACACCGGAAAGUUGAUUAAACCUUACCAUUUAGAGGAAGGUGAAGUCGUAACA